RNAcentral lists this ribosomal RNA (496 nucleotides) under uncultured bacterium. Its description in RNAcentral is "partial 16S ribosomal RNA". It matches the Rfam family "Bacterial small subunit ribosomal RNA", at positions 28 to 523 of the family's 1533-position model. The record is from RNAcentral.
GGCGAACGCUGGCGGCGUGCUUAACACAUGCAAGUCGAACGAGAAUCUACUGAAAGAGUUUUCGGACAAUGGAUGUAGAGGAAAGUGGCGGACGGGUGAGUAACGCGUGAGGAACCUGCCUUGAAGAGGGGGACAACAGUUGGAAACGACUGCUAAUACCGCAUGAUGCAUAGGGAUCGCAUGAUUCUUAUGCCAAAGAUUUAUCGCUUCAAGAUGGCCUCGCGUCUGAUUAGCUAGUUGGCGGGGUAACGGCCCACCAAGGCGACGAUCAGUAGCCGGACUGAGCGGUUGAACGGCCACAUUGGGACUGAGAUACGGCCCAGACUCCUACGGGAGGCAGCAGUGGGGAAUAUUGGGCAAUGGGCGCAAGCCUGACCCAGCAACGCCGCGUGAAGGAAGAAGGCUUUCGGGUUGUAAACUUCUUUUAAGAGGGAAGAGCAGAAGACGGUACCUCUAGAAUAAGCCACGGCUAACUACGUGCCAGCAGCCGCGGUAA